GGCAUUUAUACAUUUUAAAUAUAUGGUCAUACAUUCUGAGACCUUGAGACCCCUAAAUCAUUCUGCAGCAAUGGGGCUCUGGUAAUACGUCUGAACUUUAAAGAUUCUCAUUAUUUCAUCCCCAAUUAUUCUCCAUGGCAUUGACUUGAAAUCUCUCUGGGUUCACUGAACAGAUAAACACUGACACAUAAUGAAAAAUGUUUCCAGUAAACAAAUAAUCACUAGUCAUAUCUCAUACAAAUAAUUAUAUUGUACACCACCUAUAUUUUACAUUCCUUAACGGACAUGGUUGGCUGGGAAUGUUGGUAAAUGCAACGUAUUAAUGUGUAGUGCCUGGACAAGCAAUCUAUUCAGAACCAAUCCACAGUCUAUCCGCAGACCCAUCUCCUGUCAAGCGUUCACAAUCUUACGGAUCUUUACAAUGAAAUAUAACAGAGGGAGCUUAUACCCUCCUGAGAAAUGCUGUAUGAUUUC
Non-coding RNA from Pelobates cultripes (western spadefoot toad), 474 nucleotides. Lineage: Eukaryota; Metazoa; Chordata; Amphibia; Anura; Pelobatidae. The record is from the annotation of a GenBank genome assembly.